AGGAAAGAAACAGAAUAGCAGGGGAUGAAACAGAGAAGGGAGAAAGGAAGAAAAGAAAAAGGGAAAAAUAAGGUUUUAAAGGUUCCAAGUUAAUUUGGUAAGUCAAUUUAGCCUCUUUUCUUAUGAUUUUUGAGUUUUUGGAAUCCUAGAGAUAAAUACUACUUGUUUUAUGUAGAAAUUUUGAAAGUCAUUAGAUUUCUAAGUAUGGUUCAUAUUGAAUAAAAUGAUGGAAUUGGGGGUUUAUUUGAUAGAAAUUUUGAUUGGAAUUGAAUAAAGGAUUGAAUCGUAAACUAAGCUAUAAGUUUUGAGUUUUAGGGAUUAAAUGGAAAUAAAUUCGAAAUUAUGAAAAUAUGCUGGAAAUUUAAUAGUUAAGUAUGAGUUUGGACAAAAUUUGAAUAGAAAUGAAGUAUGAAUUGAGAUAGAAAAAGUAAGUGAAUCUAGUUAAGAUUAAAUUGAAAUUAAAGUAGAAAUUGAACAAAAAUUGUAUUAAUUAGAUAUAAAUUAGUAGUGAAUUAACGAAUAUGAAUUGUUUGAAUUCCCGUAGCUAAUGUUGUCUCGGGAAACCUCGGCUAAGCAAGGAAAAAAAUGGCAAAGACAAAGGGAGUUAGCUCGAGAAAAUACAGUUUGUAUUUCUAUAAUCCGAACCUAGUUAUUAAUUGUUAUAUUUUUUUUAUUCAAUGCAUUUAAUAAAUGUUGAAGUGAGAAUUAUUGUGUUUAUAAUGGAAAUGGAUUAAUUUGGUAUGUGAUGAAUUUAUAUUGAUUGAAUUAAAUUGAAUUAUAUAUUAUAAAUAUAUAUGUGUGUGUGUGUGUGUGUGUGAAUGAGAUAUUAUGCAAUUAUGAUAAUUGAAUUUUGGAUAAAUAUUAUGAUAAAUAAUUAAGAUGGGAAUUAUUUGUAUUGUGUCUUUAUAAUUGAAAUGAAUUGAUUUAGUGUGUGAUAAAUUUAUAUUAAAUUGAUUUAUGAAUAUCUGUUUUAUUGAAUUUUAUAUUGAUUGAAUUAUUUUAUUGAAUUAUAUUGAUUGAAUUAUAUAAAUAACUAUGAUUUAUGUAGAAAUUGAAUAUGAAUGAAUUUAUAUUGAAAAAUAUAUUGAUGGAAAUAUGAGGAAAUUUGAUAUGAAUAUAUGGAGAUUGUGAUUAUGUUAAUAUUUAUAUUGAAAAAUGAAUGAAUUGAAUUGAAUUAUGACUUCAUGUGACUACUUGAAAUAUAUUGUUGAAUGAAUGAAAUGUAUGAAUUGUGAAAAUGGUUAACUAUAUGUACUUAUCUGAAGGAGAUAUUGAUGAAAGCAGUAUUAAAUUGCGAAAUUGAUGAAAUACCCUAUUAAUAGUCGGGGCUUAAGUCAGAUAUAAUUGGCAUGCCAAGGAUUGAAAGUGUACGGGAUUUCCGGUUACAUUUAGGCCACUUUAUGUGUCAUAUUUCAGACGCCUCGUGUGUCGUAUCAGGCACCUCGUGUGUCGUAUCAGGCACUUUAUGUGUCGUAUACUGAUCAGGUACUAUGUACCGUUUUAGGCACAAUGUGCCGUACUGGUGUGUUUGGGUUGGAAUCCGUGUAUCCGUCAAAGUCUGAGUUUGUUAAUAAGACUAAAUAAGUGAAAAGAUAAAUCGACUGAAUUUGAUUGAUUGAACUAUUGGAAUGAAAUGAGAAAUUGAAUUGAGAAUUGAAAUUGAGAUAUGAGAUUGAAAAUAUGAACCAAAAGGUUCAUGAAAUGAGUGAAGUUCAAAUGGAUGAUGAUUGAUGUUAGAAUGAAUUAAAAUGGUAUAUUGUUAAGAAGUAAAGUGUGAAUACAAGUGAAUUGUGAAUAUAUUGAAAGAAUUUAUACAGUAAGCAAAUGAAAAGAAUUGAGCAAAUAUGUUGUUGUGUUUGUUAUAUAGCUUGUAUAGAAUUUUUAUGGUAAGUAAAUGAAACUUAUCUAUAAAAUAAAUAAAUGAAUGGUUAUAUUUAUCAUUGUGAUUUUAAGUUUAAUUGUUAUAUUAUCAAGUGUUCGGAUUAUAGAAAUACCACUGAAUAUACCAUACUCAACGUACAGUUUGUUUCCGUGCGCAGGUUUAGUAAAGAUAGAACGCUGAAUCAAAUCCCAAUCCGAUCCCGAAUUCAUUAAGGUAAAGUGUGUUAAUUAUUGGUAAUGGCAUGUACCAAGGAUGUCUUAUGCGUAUGUCAUUUUGAAAUUGUAAAUGUAAUGAUGAAAUAAAUAAAUUUAGAUUUGGCUAUGGUAUAAAAUAGGAUUUGACUAAUUUGGUAUGAAUUCGAAUUUUUGUGAGACAAUGUCAGAUUGAUUUUGGAAUUCCCUAUUCUGAAUUGGGAAAAUCAUUAAAAAUUGUAUAAAAAUAAUUACAGGCUAUAAUUUAUAUGCUUAGAAUAUUUAAUGAGUCUAUUUUCAAGAGAAAUAAACGGGAACAUCAUCCAAGUUCUGUGCUAUAAGAUAAUUAAAUUUUAGUAAAGAAAGGUCGAAACUGUCAAACAACAGAUCAGGGGUAACUUUGAGGAAUAAACUGUACUGAUUGGCUAAACCAAAAAUUUUGAAAUUUUAUGGUAGAAAGGUAUAUGAGUCUAGUUUUAAUAAAAAUUAACAGAACUUAAUUUGGAGUUUCGUAGCUCUAGAUAUAAAUAUUUUAGUGACUGUUACUCAAGAAGACAGUUUUGACAUAAGAAUGUAAAUGAAAUUGUGUGUAAUUAUUCUGUAAACUCCGGUAAUGCUCCAUAACUCUCUUCUGGGGUGGUUUGGGGUUAGGGGGUGUUAUAAUUGUUGGUAUCAGAGCUAUUCAUGUUUAGUCGAUUCUCGAAUAAAUCGAGCUCGGAAUUGAGUCUAGAGGUACAUGCCAUAAUUGAGUCGAAAUUGAGUCGGGAUCGGAUGCUGAUAUUUUUUUUUGGUACUAUUUUAUAGUGAAAAUGUUAGACGAAAAUAUCGAUGGUAUUGAUUAUGAAAUGUAUACUGGAGACUAAUAGUCUCGUGAAUUAGAUGAAAACUGAAUCAACAACACUGGGUAUAAACUCAAUGGGUAAUUAACUACUGAAUGAUGACUGAUGAAAUAAUAGAAAAAAAAUGAUACAUAAUUAUUUAGAAUUAUAACUGAUGUUCUUCAGUGAAUAGAAGAAAUUGUAUUUGUUAUGAUAUAUGCCCCUCCUGUUUCUCAAUCGGUUCCCGAAGUGCUUCAAGGUACAGAGUUUGUCUGAAUGGAUAACAUAUCUGUUGUUAAUAUUUUGUACAUAUAGUGUGGAAGAAUUGAAAAUUACAGCUGAACAUAUCUGUUGUUAAUAUUUUGUACAUAUAGUGUGGAAGAAUUGAAAAUUACAGCUGAAAAUGAUCUUGAAAGAAUUAAAAUUUGGCAAGAGAAUAUUAUCAAGGCUGUAAAUGAAUUGCUUGGUUCGUCGAAUAAAUGAUAGGAAGGUAUGAUAUUUCUACUAAAAGAUUCAAUCUACCAAAGGUGGAAAAUAUUGAUUUAUGCUGUAACUAUGAAAGGGUUAUUUGGAAUUUUCUAAAAUGAAUUCUGAAAGAAAUAUAUGUUAGUCAGAGAUUUCCUGAUUAGAAAUGCAAAGAAAUUUUUGAAGCUUAAACAGGGUCAUAUGAUUGUAACUAAGUAUGAAGGGAAUUUGUUUGAUUGAAUAAGUAUAUCAGAGGGUAUAUUCCAAUAGAAACCAUAAUGUACAAGUAGUUUGAAGAUGGUUUAAAUGAAAACAUAAAGUCGAAGAAUGUAGAAUAAAGAGUGAAAUAUGAGUUAGAUAUGAUUCUUCUGAUCAUUAUCUUAGUGAUUGAUUGAAGAGAGUUGAAAGAGAUAUUAUUUAAAUUUCAAGACAGAAUACAACAGUUAUUAGAGGUAGAUUACUCUGUAACCUAGAAAUGCGAGUGGUAGUCGAAGUGUGAUAGAGGAUUUCACUAUAAAAUCUGGAGAAUGAAUAUCAGCCAGGGCAUAUGUUAAUUGUAUAUAAGAAGAUGUUUCUCUACCGGGUGUCAUUACAGGUACCUUCUUCUUUUAUCGGCACUGAUAUGAUUAUUUUAAAUUGAUAUUGGUUUUAUUUAUUCGUAUGAUUGCAUGAAUUUAGCAUUUAUUAAAGAUUUUUCUGUUUAGUUCGACGAAUUAUUGGUUGAAGUAUCAAAUUUUUCGGAUCAGUAUUUAUUGAUUGAUAAAAUUACAAGAACUGUUUGAUAAUGAUAUUAGGGUACUGUUUCCUGAUUGAUUUGAUGUUAUUAUUAUUUGAUGUUAUUUCAAGAACGGAAUGGUUAAUUCUACAUGAUAUGGUGGUGAAUUGUAAGCAAAAGUGCAUUAUACUGCAAGGUUAGAACGAUGAAAAUUGAACUAAUUGUUUAUUGUGAUAUUGAACAUGUCAACACAGAAAUGUGCUAGAAAAGGGUUGUGGUAUUUACUUUGCUUAUGAAUUGGAUAUUAAAGUAUCUGAGUCAAAUUUUAAUUCAAUGGCAAUUUUGAUGUGUUUCCGGAAGAGUUACCCGAAUUACUGUUGGUUGAAGAAGCUAAAUUUAUUAUAGAUCUUGUGCCUGAAAUAAUAUUGAAAAAUGUAUCUGAAAUCAGAGAAUUUUUGAGAUUAGUCGGUUAUUAUCAGAAAGUUAAAAAAAGAUUUUUGAAAUAUAUGGUUACCAUAGAAAGAUAUGGCAUUGUAAUGAUCUGAUAAAUGUCAGUAAAGUUUUAAUCAGUUGAAAACUCAGUAAACUGAAGCACUAGUUCUGGUUUAGCCUAAAAUCCAGUAAAGAAACUUGUGAUUUACAGGGAUAGCAGUGUUUGACGCAAGAAAAUGAAUUAACGGUUUAUGUUUUGGAAAGUUAGAACUACAUGAGAAGAAUUAUUUGAUACAUGAUUCGAAAGUGAUAACUAUUGUCUUUGUAUUAAAGGAUCAUGAUUUUAUAAUUGAAUAUCAUCCAGGGAAAAAAAAAUCAAAUGGAGUUAUGAACACUCUAUUGUCAUUAUCUGAUGAUCGCUCAAUUCUAAUUGAAAUAAAGGUUAAACUUACUUCUCUACAGCAGGUCUGCAAAGUUCAGAAAUGUGACAAUGAAUUAAUGGUUAAAUGGGUAUAGUGAACAAAUGAUUUUGAUUGAAAAUUUCAGAUUGAAUUUGAUGAUUAUUUGCUGUUUAGAAAUAGAAGCUGUAUUGAAGAAUUCAGAGCUUAGACAGAAGAAUUUGUAUGAAAUUUAUAGCAAUACUAUGUCUAUGCAUUCUGGAAGAAAUAAAAUGUACAGUGAUUUGAGGAAGAUGUGUUGAAGACUGGGAAAGAAAAGUAGUACUUUGAAAUUGUAUAUAAAUGUUUAUAUCAGAUACAGAUAUCUUCAGAACUAUUACAGCUAGAAAGGAUAUCAGAAUGGAAGUGGGAUAUAAUUUCUAUGGGUUUGAAUUAGAAUUAUCUCGAUCUUUGAAAAAGAAAGACGGUAUUUGAAUAAUCGUCGAAGGUAUGGUAAAGUCUGCAAAUUCUAUUCAUGUAUGAAUAAAUUUCUUAAUAAUUGUCUGAAAUAUAGGUUUCUGAGAUUAUCAGAUUUCAUGGUAUGGUGGUUUCUAUUUUUUUUUAUUGAGAUACGUGGUUUAUACUCUGAUUAUAGAAUAAGUACAAAAAGUUUUGGGUACGUGAUAACAGUUUUCAGCAAUAUAUGAAGUUUUGAAUGAUUAUGAUGUAAAACUGCAUAAGAUCUGAUUAAAUACAGUGAGAAAAAGAAUAUGCGGAAUUUUUUAAUUCGUGAAAUUGAAGAAAAGUAGAAGUGAUUCGAGAUAGAUUGAAAGCAGUUUUGACAGACAGGAAUUAUAUGUGGACUUGAAACGUUAGGAUAUCGAGUAUUUUGUUAGUGAUAUGAUAUUUCUUAAAGAUUCAGUUUGAAAGAAAAUUUUGAAGAUCAGGUUGAAAAAGAAAUUGAGUUCUUAUUCUGUUGGGCCAUGUGAAGUUGUAGAAAAGUCGGAUCGGUAAAAUAUUGCUUGGUUUUGCUUUUGAAGUUACAGAAAGUUUAUGAUAAUUUUUCCAUGAUUUGAAGCUUAGAAAAUGAUAUAGAUUAGAUCUGUUACAUGUUAUAUCGACAAAGGAUAUUGAGAUUUGACGCAAUCUAUCGUAUGAGAAAGAGCCGGUUGAGAUACUAGCCUGAGCGGUAAUGUCAUAAUAUUGAGGAAACAAUACGGGAACUGAGAGAAACAGCGAAAUCUUUGUACUUGUACCCCCGCCUCUCUUAUGAAAAUUUCAAGGACGAAAUUUAUUAAAGGGGGGGAGAAAUGUAACGACCCGAACUUUAAGGUUAUUAGAAAAGUAUAUUUUCGGGUCACCAUUUCUGAAAAAUGGAUUAGAAAAUAUUUAUUAAAAAAAAGUAAAAAUAUUUAUGAAGUUAAGUGAGUGAUUAAUUAAAGUUUAAUUAAGUAAAUUUAGCUUAAUUAAGGAUAAUUGGAUAAAAGAUUAAAUUGAAUAUAAUGUGAAAGUUUAGUUUUAAAGUAAUAGAAAAUAAAAGGAUCAAAAUGGCAAUUAAGCCAUACCCAUGAAAUGAGACGGUGAAUGAAAGAAAAAUCAAGAUUUUUCUUGAAUUAUGUAUAUUAUUAAAUUAUUAAAUAUAUAUGUAUAUAUAUAUAUAAAAAAAGAAAAACAAGUGUAUAAAAAUGAUUGGUACAAGUGUUAAAUAAAUAUUUGUUAUUAAAUAGAUUUUUAUUAUAGUUAUUAUUGUCAUUAUAUAUAUAUAAAAGAAACAAAAGAAUAAAAAGAGGAAAGAAACAGAAUAGCAGGGGAUGAAACAGAGAAGGGAGAAAGGAAGAAAAGAAAAAGGGAAAAAUAAGGUUUUAAAGGUUCCAAGUUAAUUUGGUAAGUCAAUUUAGCCUCUUUUCUUAUGAUUUUUGAGUUUUUGGAAUCCUAGAGAUAAAUACUACUUGUUUUAUGUAGAAAUUUUGAAAGUCAUUAGAUUUCUAAGUAUGGUUCAUAUUGAAUAAAAUGAUGGAAUUGGGGGUUUAUUUGAUAGAAAUUUUGAUUGGAAUUGAAUAAAGGAUUGAAUCGUAAACUAAGCUAUAAGUUUUGAGUUUUAGGGAUUAAAUGGAAAUAAAUUCGAAAUUAUGAAAAUAUGCUGGAAAUUUAAUAGUUAAGUAUGAGUUUGGACAAAAUUUGAAUAGAAAUGAAGUAUGAAUUGAGAUAGAAAAAGUAAGUGAAUCUAGUUAAGAUUAAAUUGAAAUUAAAGUAGAAAUUGAACAAAAAUUGUAUUAAUUAGAUAUAAAUUAGUAGUGAAUUAACGAAUAUGAAUUGUUUGAAUUCCCGUAGCUAAUGUUGUCUCGGGAAACCUCGGCUAAGCAAGGAAAAAAAUGGCAAAGACAAAGGGAGUUAGCUCGAGAAAAUACAGUUUGUAUUUCUAUAAUCCGAACCUAGUUAUUAAUUGUUAUAUUUUUUUUAUUCAAUGCAUUUAAUAAAUGUUGAAGUGAGAAUUAUUGUGUUUAUAAUGGAAAUGGAUUAAUUUGGUAUGUGAUGAAUUUAUAUUGAUUGAAUUAAAUUGAAUUAUAUAUUAUAAAUAUAUAUGUGUGUGUGUGUGUGUGUGAAUGAGAUAUUAUGCAAUUAUGAUAAUUGAAUUUUGGAUAAAUAUUAUGAUAAAUAAUUAAGAUGGGAAUUAUUUGUAUUGUGUCUUUAUAAUUGAAAUGAAUUGAUUUAGUGUGUGAUAAAUUUAUAUUAAAUUGAUUUAUGAAUAUCUGUUUUAUUGAAUUUAUAUUGAUUGAAAUUAUUUUGAUUGAAUUUAUAUUGAUUGAAUUAUAUAAUAAAUAUGAUUUAUGUAGAAAUUUGAAUAUUGAAUGAAUGUUAUAUUGAAAAAUAUAUUGAUUGGAAAUAUGAGGAAAUUGAUAUGAAUAUAUGAGAUUGUGAUAUUUGAAUAUUUGAUAUUGAAAAAUGAAUUGAAUUGUAUUGAAUUAUGAAUUAAUGUGAAUAAUUGAAAUAUAUUGUUGAAUUGAAUGAAAUUGUAUGAAUUGUGAAAAUGGGUAAAUAUAUGUAAUUAUCUGAAUGAGAUAUUGAUGAAAGAAUUAUUAAAUUGAGAAAGUGAAUGAAAUACCCUAUUAACUAGUCGGGCUAAGUCAGAUAUAAUUGGCAUGCCAUAGGAUCUGAAAGUGUACGGGAUUUGCCGGCUUUACCAUUUAGGCACUUUAUGUGUCGUAUUUCAGGCGCCUCGUGUGUCGUAUCAGGCACUUUAUGUGUCAUAUACUGAUCAGGUACUAUGUACCGUUUUAGGCACAAUGUGCCGUACUGGUGUGUUUGGGUUGGAAUCCGUGUAUCAUUCAAAGUCUGGGUUUGUUAAUAAGGCUAAAUAAGUGAAAAGAUAAAUCGACUGAAUUUGAUUGAUUGAACUAUUGGAAUGAAAUGAGAAAUUGAAUUGAGAAUUGAAAUUGAGAUAUGAGAUUGAAAAUAUGAACCAAAAGGUUCAUGAAAUGAGUGAAGUUCAAAUGGAUGAUGAUUGAUGUUAGAAUGAAUUAAAAUGGUACAUUGUUAAGAAGUAAAGUGUGAAUACAAGUGAAUUGUGAAUAUAUUGAAAGAAUUUAUACAGUAAGCAAAUGAAAAGAAUUGAGCAAAUAUGUUGUUGUGUUUGUUAUAUGGCUUGUAUAGAAUUUUUAUGGUAAGUAAAUGAAACUUAUCUAUAAAAUAAAUAAAUGAAUGGUUAUAUUUAUCAUUGUGAUUUUAAGUUUAAUUGUUAUAUUAUCAAGUGUUCGGAUUAUAGAAAUACCACUGAAUAUACCAUACUUAACGUACGGUUUGUUUCCGUGCGCAGGUUUAGUAAAGAUAGAACGUUGAAUCAACAUCCCAAUCCGAUCCCGAAUUCAUUAAGGUAAAGUGUGUUAAUUAUUGGUAAUGGCAUGUACCUAGGAUGUCUUAUGUGUAUGUCAUUUUGAAAUUGUAAAUGUAAUGAUGAAAUAAAUAAAUUUAGAUUUGGCUAUGGUAUAAAAUAGGAUUUGACUAAUUUGGUAUGAAUUCGAAUUUUUGUGAGACAAUGUCAGAUUGAUUUUGGAAUUCCCUAUUCUAAAUUGGGAAAAUCAUUAAAAAUUGUAUAAAAAUAAUUACAGGCUAUAAUUUAUAUGCUUAGAAUAUUUAAUGAGUCUAUUUUCAAGAGAAAUAAACGGGAACAUCAUCCAAGUUCUGUGCUAUAAGAUAAUUAAAUUUUAGUAAAGAAAGGUCGAAACUGUCAAACAACAGAUCAGGGGUAACUUUGAGGAAUAAACUGUACUAAUUGGCUAAACCAAAAAUUUUGAAAAUUUUAUGGUAGAAAGGCAUAUGAGUCUAGUUUUAAGAAAAAUUAACUGAACUUAAUUUGGAGUUUCGUAGCUCUAGAUAUAAAUAUUUUAGUGACGCUUACUCAAGAAGACAGUUUUGACAUGAACAUAAGUAAAUGAAAUUGUGUGUAAUUAUUCUGUAAACUCCGGUAAUGCUCCAUAACUCUCUUCCGGGGCGGUUUGGGGUUAGGGGUGUUACAUCAAAGCUGGAAAUAUUCCAGAUCUCAAAACGUAGCAUUGAGGCGCGAAUCAAGUUGAUUCAUGUACAAAUUACAGAGAUAAAUUUAAAAAAAAAAAACAAAUGAAGCUCAAUCGAAUGACAGUGCGAAAGGGGAGGACCAAGCGCACAAUUAACCCUCUAAGACCAAAAGCGCGGAUCUCAUCCGAGCAUGGGUCGGGUCAUUAGGUUAUGACUCCCAGAUAGUGUCAUUUUUAAGCCAUUGAAAUUGGCUUACACGACGCUAUUUCAGAUCCUUUAUAAUGGCUAAACCCAACCAAGAAAACCGUUCGGUUGAACGAAACCCUAAUCCCUUUCUUUCUCUUUUGUCAAACCCUAAAUCCCUCACUCCAACUGCAGAUUCACCUCCACAAACAGCAACCAAUACAUUCAAGCUUGGAGGGAUGACUUUUUAGCCUUGAGAUCUCCUUUCGGCUUCAAUUUCAACGAAGCAAAAAGAGAUUUAUGGCAUAUUCGCAAGGUAAGACUCCUCUUUCUUUUUUCCUUUUAUUUUCAAACGCAAUGACGGAAGAUUUGAAGGCAAUAAAUCGCAAGGAAAUGCAAAAACUUAAAGAAAUUUAAACAGAAAUCACCUUCUAAAAAUUUUGACUGCUUUCUUUGUAUUCAAUAUGCGUUCGUCCUCUUUUACACUGAUUUUCUCGGCCUUUUAUAGCCGAUUUACAGGAUAAAUAGAAAAAGGAAAAAAAAAACUCUAAUUUUUUGCUGUCAUCUGCUGGUUUAUUUUCUGUUAUUGGGGCUGUUCUCGCAAGUUCUAUGGAGAAACGGCCGUACGAAAGAAGCCGCUCGUGGUGACAUGGAGGCCGUGAGUGGAAAAUCCCUCGUGAAAACCCGAUUCCCUGGCUGCAGUACUAGCGUGUUCUAGAAACCUCUAGGUUUUUGGUAUUCUCAAGUUGUUGGGCCUUUUUGGGCCAUUUUGGCAAUGGGCUACUGUGACUUGGACCAGGGAUUAAGUUGGGGGAUUUUGGGUGUAAUGGGACUUUGGGUUAAGGUCUAGGUCAAUAGAUUUUGGGUUUCAAUUUUGAGUCUCGGGGUUGAAUGUAAAAUUUGAUAUUUAAUUGGGCCAAAACUGUGCUUGUUGUAAUUGAUGGACUUUGGACCCUUUAUUUUUAUUUUGGUUUAUGGUUUUAUUUUUUAUUUUUUUUUGUUUUGGUUUUGGUGUGGGCUCGGGUGAAAUGGGCCUAUUACAAUAAUUUUUAAAAAAUUAAAAGAUAGUAUAUAAUAUAAUUAACUCAAUCAAAUUUAGCUUAAAAUUGAAAGAAACAAAUUACUUACCUUCAUCUCAUUGACUUAUCAUCUAUUUGCCAAUAAAAAAAAUAUAAAGUUUAAAUACUUUUAACGUAUUUAAUUGAAUCCUACUAAUGGAAGUAUGAGAGCUGACCUUAUAUUUGUUAUCAAUGAAGAACCAAUAGUGCAGCUUAGGUGAAAUUGGUUCUAAAAUGAAUUAUCACCUACUAAUGAUUAAAUCUUGGAUAUGUUUUGUUCUCGAAUUUGGGAGAUUUUGUAGGGUUAAUUUGCAGUCUAUGUUCUAAUUUGAAUUUUUUUUCUAAUGAUGGAUGCUGUGUUUUUAAAAUCUUAUUUGCAUUCCUUAAUAUUGAUUCUGAAUUAAAUGCUUUUUAACUAUUUAUAUAGGAAAGCUGAAAGAGGAGCAUUUAAUAGAUGGUUGAGAUGAAGGUCCCGCAUGCAUACUUGCAAGAAAGUAUUGUGAUUCAUGAUCCUCAGAAGUAACAUUGCAGUGUGGUCAAGAAUCACAAAAAUGCAUUUAGGAGUUUCUUGGUAGAUGAUCACAAGAGUGCACUUGGCCAUUUUGGAUCUUUUUAUUUCUUAAUAAAUAUGUUUAGAAAAGAUAGUUUCGUUAUCUCAUUUCUAUAUUUACUUAAUACUCUGCAAUUUUUUCUAUCAUAAUCUAAAUUUAUUGAAAAGAAAUUUUUACUUCUAAGAUUCUGUUCAAGUCAUUUGCUUACACCUAAUGAUAUGUGUACGGGCCCGAUAUAAAUAAACCAAAAUAAUAAGUCCAAAUUUAAAAAGUCCAUUUACAAAAAAUAUCAGAUUUAAAGCCCAAAACCUAAACCCAUCUAAGCCCAAACCCUGAUGGCCCAAUUGGCCCAAUGUUUAAAUCAAAUUUAACCAAAGCCUAACCCUAGCUUUCUCUCGAGCGCCGCACCCCACGUGCCUCCGUCAGCGCACACAACGCCCCAGGCUCGGCUUCCCUCGUCACUUUGCACCGAAAGGGAAACCUUUGCCCGUUAACCUUCCACAGCCCUGCAAAACAACCUAAAAACGAGCAAGGACAGCCAAAAUACAGCAACAAAAGCAAGGGCAAUAGCGAAAAAUGGGGGGGAUUCGGCUAUAUAGCCAAAGAACAGAAAUGUAAAAGGGGGUUCAUUUUUUUAAAAAAAAUUGUAUUACACAUAUUUUCAGAGAAAUCGAAAGCAGAAAAGAAAUCUAAGAGGUGUUUGUUCUUAUUUUUUUAUCUUUUUAUUUUUGAUUUUUCCAUUUGUUUUUAUUUUAGUUAUUUUGCAAAUCUUUUUCUUUAUAAAAAAGAGGCUUGAAAUAAAUAAAAAAGGAGGGGAACAGGAACUUACCGAAUCGCGUCGCCGGAACUCCUCCCUCCAUCAUCGGGUUCGAACUCCAAAGGGAGAGGGGGAAGCCUCCCGAUCUCGAUCGCCCAGGCCUUGAAGGCUUGGCCUUCAAACGUGGCUUGAUCAAGGGCUGAAAAGCCCGUUCGAUGCUGCCAAAACCACCGUCCAUGGUGGAGGAAUGAAGGACCACCUGCGAUGAUGGGUUUAAAAAAAGAAACCUGGCACAGAAAAGAAAUUGAGGGAAAGGGGCUGCUGUCUGCUUCUGAAAAAAAAGAGAAAAUGAAGGUUUUUUUUUUAAAUAGGCUUAAGUAACCCUGGAAACGACGUCGUUUUUGGGUGGGGGUCCAGGUGCCAAAACGACACCGUUUUGAACCCGCCCAUGCGCGACCCGACCCGCCUUCUAUGGGAUCCGCGUGUUUUACCUUUCAAUGGGGAAUUUUCGCGUAAAGUCCCUCCGCAUUUGCUGCUCUUCCAAAUCCAAUUUCCUUUUAUUCUAAUUUGUGCCUCAUAAUUUAUUUCAAUAUUAAUUUAGUCCAUGUUUAAGCACUGUGUUUUUUUUAGUUUGGGGUAAUUUCGUUAUUAGUCCCCGUGAGUUUACUCGCGUUAUAUUUCAUUCCUAAGUUAAGCUCCAACGACUUAUUUAUUUACGGAUUAUCUUCUUGAUUUUAUCUUUAUCUCAAUUGAGUCCUUUUCCUUUUAACUUCAUUUUUGUAAAAUUGUCUCAUUAUUUAUUUUAGGUUAUUAUUCACUUUUAUAUUAUUCAUUAUUUUAAUUUAUUUUUAUCGUUUAUUUUCUAUCUAUUUUCGUUUGUAUAUUUUUAAAAUACUUUAUUUAUAUAAUUUACUCAUUUGUUUUAUUUCUCUUUUAUGUAUAUUCUUUAUUUAAAGUUUUAUAUGUGUCAAGGUUAUUUUAAAUAUUUUUAUACAUCGUUAUUAUAUAUAUGUAUUAUUCAUUUACAUUCUUGCAGUCCUUUAUUUAUCAUCCUUCCAAUCUUUAAUAAUCUUUUACUAAUUAUUUAGUUUAUUCAUGCCUUUAUUUUUAUCUAUUAUUAUUAAUUUAUUCAUCUACUUGAUUAAUUAUCAUCUCUUUUAUGUCUUUAAGAUUAGACACCUUUUUUACUUAUAUAUAUAUAUAUAUAUAUAUAUAUAUAUAUUAUUCCUACUAUUAUGAAUUAUUAUUAUUACUAUCACAUUCAUUUAUACAUGCUUUACUAUAAAUCGGGCCAUCAAUUUUGUUUAUGUUUUAGCGCCAAUAUUUUUACAAGCCCUUUUUUCUUAUAUUCAUAUUUGCCUAUUAUUUGUUAAUGUUGCCAUUGCUAUUAUUCAUUCAUUUGGUAUGUUUCAUUGUUAGAAUUUGUUCCUUAAAAUUGCUAUUAUUGUAGUGCAUUAGUACUAUUAUAACAUUCAUUUACUAUAGUCGCUUCAUGUUAUUCCAUUAUUAUUACCCCAUAUAUUAUGUUCAAAUAUAGUCAGUCGUCUUUAUAUCAUAUUUCAAAUCAGCUCAUAUUAUUCUAAACUUAUAUUUGAUAAUUACUUCAAAAAAGAGAAACUUUCAAAAUAUGGCAAUAUUUCUUUCUUUUGGAAAUUCGAGAAAACGUACCCUAACUUAUUGGGUUUCGAUUUUUCUCGUUUAACCUAAAUAACUUAAUAUCCCUUCAAAUUUCAAAAAUAUGAAUUCUAAAUAAAAUAAGACAAUAUUUCGUAUUUUGGGAAGUUCGAGAAAUCGUGCCUUAACUUAUUGGGUUUCGAUUUUUUUCUCGUUUAACCCAAAAUGAUCGAACAACCUUUCAAAAUUAAAAUGCAUGAAUUUCGAAAAUCAAAAGACAAGCUUAUUCUCGAGGUUUUAAAAUGUCGUGUCCUAAUGUACUGGAUGUAGUAUUUUGUUACUUCGAGACAAGGUCUUUAACAUCCGCUUCGAUUUAUUCAAAUAUUUUUGUAAAACAAACAUUCAUAAAAAGGGAUCAUACUUCAAACUUUAUUUUAAAUCUUUUUAAUUUUCGGCAUUAAGACAUUAAUUAAUUGAUUAGGUACCAAUUUUUGCGUUACGAGGGUGUUAAUCCUUCCUCGUACGUAACCGACUCCCGAUCCCGUUUUCUCAAAAUUCGUAGACCAAAAUUGUUGUUUUAGUAAAAUGUUUUAUUAAAAUGACCAAACUUCUCGAUGAUCCGAUCACACCUAAAUAAAAAAGAUUGGUGACGACUCCUAAUUUUCAUUUCCAUUUUCAAAACCAAAGUUGAUCCCCGUUUUUUUUUUUUUAAAUGGUUUCGACAAUAUGCACUCCGCUUUUCAAUCAUUUCGAGAUGCAGCCAUAGCAUCUACCCUCUUCCUCCCCGAGUUCCAGUGAUUCUUUAUCAAAUUAAAUAAAAUUUAAAUUCAGAUCAAUGAAGUCGGGCUUUCAAAAUCGUAUCAAAAUGGAGAACUCUACUUUCAUCUGUUAAGCAAUUUUCACCCUGUUUAAAGUAAAAACCUUCAAAAAGAAAUUUUACCAAUAAAUGAUGUGCAUAAAUAAUUCGACAAUGUAAUUGGACUGCAUUGAAUUGCAAAGAAUGUUUCAAUCAAUUAUCUUUUUUGGACCCUACUCUCCCUAUAAGAGUGAACAAACCAAGUUCUUUACAUUGCUCUUCAUCAGGAUACAAGCUCCCAGGAGCUGCACCAAAUGCUCUUCUAGUUGUUUCAAAUCCUAAAGCCACGUAAUGGAGAUAUGCUGACGUUGCCUCCAUGUUCUUCUGCAGGUUUAAAGAUAUCGAUGCGAAUUUCGUUGACUGAUUUUUAUCCAAUUCUUUUGCAACGACCUGGUUGAGUUCUUAAACUCCUAAAAACCGCUCUGUUGUUGCCUCCCAUGACAACUCGUACCUCUGUGCAUCGGUCAAUGGAGCAGGCUCUGCAUUACGUGUGGCUUCAACGAAACCGUUGCCAUCAUCAUAAGUUCGGCAAUUCGAGAACUGCUAGAAGAAAUCAUUCGAGGGGUGAUUGGCACAAAUAACGAUUUUUCCCAUAGCCAAUGCUUCGGCUGUGAUUGUGCAAACAACAUCUGUGAUGCUAGGAUUCAAGAAUAUUUCGUAACUGAAGGGGAAAGCCAGAAAAGAAAAAAAUCAAAAUUAAUUGAUCCCGAUCCAGAUAUGAAGAGAGAGUGGGGGACAAAGUGAGGCUUACUCAUGGAAUAAAGGAUCAGCAUGAUCACAACCAGGAACUAUUUCAGCUUGUUAGCAGCUUCCUUAACUUGAUCGGAGUCUUCUCCAUUGCCAUACAGAUCAAUCUCGAGACCAGCUAACUCCUUUUGGUGAUCACGAAUAAGUAGUUCCCCGUAGCCUUUGCUCCAAACCAUCUUCCCAAUGUAGUAAGCCCCUUUGGUGAAGGCUUUGUUACGGCUCUGUUGUUGCUCGAAAAUUUUUUUGCCUACCUCGAGAAAUUUGGGAUUAACUCCAUGAACAUUGCAGAUGAUGGAUCUGGGAUAAUCCUGAGUGGCAGCAGACAACCUAAUUACCUGCAAUAACAACAUGAUUACAAUCAGAUGAAAUUAAUUAUAUUAUAAUAUAAUAUCAAAACUUGGAGAGGCGAGGAAUUCGAUUUUCUUCUCUCCUAGUGCUCCUUUCUUCUCUAUCAGCAGCAUCAACAGCUAGACUAUGCUAGUAAAAUCAGAGACACAUAUCAUUCUAGUGGACCAACAAGGUGGCACUGAUUCCUGUUAGGUCGGAACAAUAUAUCACCCGAGGCAAAGUUACAAUCUUUGUCUUCCUUAAAUAAUCUAGCCUAACAAGUUAAUAAAGUAUCCAACAGUGCAAAUUUUGUAUAGUCCUAUAAAUAUCAAGCAAAAGUCGCUUUAACUUGUUGGCAAGCACAGAAAAAUCAAAGCUUAUUAGGAAGCUUACCUUAUGGCAAUAGAUGCUAACAACCCAACUAUUUAAAUAUUUCAGAAGAAAUGCUAGCAAUCGUCCAUUUUUCUCCCUCUUUACGUACUCCAAAUAAUUGGUAUGAAUUAUUCCUAUGACGAGGCGAAAUUUCGUUUUCCAUCUCUUCCCAUGAUGAAACCACGUAAGAUGCUCGGGCUCCUCGAGGACAGCAGUAUCUGCCUCUUCAUCAGGGAUGAUUUCCGAUAUGUCUCCUACAGGAAUUAUGCUUUUUUUAACUACAGCAAAGUGCAUCACAAUUAGUACUAUAAAUUAUCAUCAGAUUGUCACCAUGGUAAUUAAAUGAUGGUUCUGAUGUUUAAAUUAUCUAUGUUCAUUUAAUUUUAGGAAUUUGUUAAAGGUGUGCGAUUACCUUUCCAGGAUAAAAGCAUAUACCGAAAUCAGGUAUAAAUGCAAUCCUCCGUUCAAGCCAUUGACGAAAUAAGACUCUUGCUCCCAAGGUGAACCGAACAUAGCAUUGUCCGACUAUACUAGUUUUUGAUCUUUCAAAGACAACCAAGGAAUCACCAAUGUGAUCUUUCUGUCUCCACCUUUGGCUAUAUAAGAUGGUAGAGAUAAAUUAUCUAUACGUUUUCAUGAGGCCUGAGGGGACUUUCACAGUAAUUGUUGGUUGAGUCAUGGAAGAUCAUUUGUGUGUGCCCUUGGAUGUAAUUGAAAAAUGUAUUAAACUGCUAAAAGAGCUCAUCUAGAUUUUUAUUUGACUAACGAAAACCCAUGUGUUUGUACAUUUAAAGCCCCAUUGUCUUAAGAAGGAUCUGAGAGUCGCUCCUAAAUGUGAGUAGAGAAUUAACUCUCAUACAAAACGACAAGCAGCUCGAUGCAGCUGCUUCCAUUUUUUUUAUUAUUAUCUGCAAACAAUGUCCUAAAAGAGUGCAACAAGGUGCCCAAUUAACUCUCUUUCUGUAACUCUCAAUGUAUCCUCAUCCAUUAAUUUAUUUAGCAAAUUAUACAUUAAAAAAUUGUAAAAUAUUUCAUGGGUACUUAUCUAUAAACCAUAAGAACUUGACCAAAGUUUAAUCAUUUUUCCAUUGUUAUCUUCACCCCAAAGUUUUCAGAUCCAUUUCCAGCUUCUGUACCAAUGUCAGAUCAGCCAACAAAGAGGUAUAUAUAUGUUUACGCUCAAGGUUGCUAAAUUCAUUUAGUUUUAAAAAGUUAUAAGAUAGUUACUGAAUUAUUUAAAAGUUUUCAUUUAAAUUAUUGAGCUGUUAAAAUCGUUACUGUAUGGCUUUUCCAUUUGCACCGUAUGCACCAGUUAAAAUCUCUCUUUUCCUUAUUUUUUAUAUUUUUUUUAUGAAAUAAUUUUAAAUAUCACGAAUUUACUAAAUAAAGUCUAAACAGUUUUCUUCUACGAUCUCAAGCAUUGACCGCUAGAUCUACUUUAGAUUUAAUGAAAUUUUUUUUACAUCUUGAUGAGCAUUGAUCCAUCGUACCGAUCAUGAAAUCAUCAUUUAGAAUUUAAUACCUAGUUUUUUUUUUUGUAAAAAUAACUAGACUGCCCAAUAAUUUAAACAAAAAAAAUUUAACUUACUAAAAAUCAAUUUACCCAUAUAUUUAUAUGUAUUUAUUUUGCAAUUAAGCAUAAAUAAGCUAAGCUCCAUUGUUGUUCCUUAAAUAGGUAUGCAGUGGUUACGGGUUCAAACAGGGGCAUUGGAUUUGAAAUAUGCAAGCAGUUGGCUACAAAGGGUAUGACGGUGGUGUUGACGGCUAGAGACGAGACGAAUGGUGUUGAAGCCGUCGGAAAAUUGAAACAGUUUGGGUUCUCUGAAACUGUGGUGUUUCAUCGACUGGACGUGACGGAGCCAGCGAGUGUUUCGAGUUUGGCCGAAUUUGUAAAGACUCAAUUUGGAAGGCUUGAUAUCUUGGUAAAAUCAUUUGGCUUUUCUACCUUCUUGGAUUGUCUUUUUUCUAUAUCUAAUUAUUGAGUUCCAAACAUUGUUCAAACACUGAUUUGUUUAACCUGAAUUUGAAUCCGAUCCAAUAAGUGACCUGAGGGACUUAUAUAAAACUUUUAAAAGAUUUAGGAGUUUUAAGAAUUUCCAAAAAAAAAUUAGGGUUUUGAUUAAAAUUUUUAAAACUUUUGAGAAGAUUAAUGAAAUUUUUCAAAAAAAAAAAUUGAAUAGUCUAAUUAAAAUUAACAAAAAUUGUAAAAAGCAUAAUGAAAAUUUUCCAAAAUUUUGAGAGACACAAUGCCUCUAGUUUUAAGGACGUACCACCCAGUAUUCUAUUCUAUUCACUAUAAAAAGUCAACAAUUUAAAUUAAACUCAAAAACAACUUAAAUUUGAAAUUAUUUAAACUUAAAAUGGUCUAACUUGAAAAGUCUGAUUGACAAACUUGAAUGACUUAAACUCGAAAUAACUUGAACCUAAAAUGAUUCCAACAAAAAACAAACUUAAACUUGAAAUGACCUCAAUCUGAACUUAAAAUGAGACAAACCCCAAAAUUAAGCUACUUUGAAAAAACUUUAUCGGUAAACUCGAAUGACCUUAAGCUGAACUUAAAUUUUACAUGAAUUCGAGAUGAUCCAAACUUAAAAAGAGUAAAAAAAUUUAAAACCCGAUUAGAUUCAAAUCAACUUGGACAGCUGAAGUGAGAGGUCUAGGUUGUUAUAAUUAUUUGAUUGAAAUUGUAUGUAGGUGAAUAAUGCUGGAAUUGGUGGAGUAACAGCAGAUGAAGAUGCUUUAAGAGCUGGUGUUCUUGGCAAGGUAAUCUGGAUUUCAUGGCUUAACUUGUUAUUUCAUUUGGAGAAAACCAGGGAUUAGGGUUGGAAAUGAAAUUGAAUUAGUUGUGGCUUAAUUUCAGCCUGCUGCUACAGUCAACUGGAGUGGAAUAUUGAUGGAAACAAAUGAGUUAAGUGAGGAAUGCCUCAAAACAAACUAUUAUGGUGUCAAAACAGUGUGUGAAACACUCCUCCCACUUCUCCACUUAUCUGAUUCACCAAGAAUUAUAAAUAUUUCUUCUUCAAUGGGACAAUUAAAGGUAAAUGAGGUCAACCCCGGUAAAAGUUUAGUUUGUGGCAGAUUGCAUUUCAGUUUCUCUAUUAAAAAAAUAAACAAGUUAACUUUUAUACAUUUCGAAACAUGCAAAUUAUCAAUUAAAUGAUAGUGGAGAAUAUUAAUUUAAAUAGUUAAUUGUUAAUUUGGUUCGUGAACUAUAACUAAAAUAUUGUUUUGAUUUUUUAUUUUUUUCUUAAUAAUAAUCCUAAAAACUUAAAUUAUUUUUAAAAAUAUGGUUAGUGUCUCAUUGUAUUAGAUAAUUAUCAUCAAAUCGAGAAUUUUAAAAAUGAAAAUAUUUCUCCGUUAUUGAAUGAGAGUUCAAUUUUUCAAAAAAUAAAAACAUACCAAAAAAGAGCUCCUUUGAAUGUAAGUUUUGGUUUUAAUAAAUCUGAGUUUGAUUUUGUUUUAACAUAAGUUUUAAUAAUUUAUAUUUAUUUUUGAGAUUUUUUUAAAAAAAUUAGAAUUAUUGUUAAGAAUUUUUUUAAAAAAUUUAAAACGACGUUUUAGCUAUAGUUUAGGGUCAAAUUAGUAAUUAACCAUUUAAAUUAACGUUCUACAUCAUCAUGUAAUAGAUAAAUUUUAAUAGAGGGACUAAUUUGCAUAUUUUAAAAUGUAUAAGGACUAAUUUAUCUAUUUUUCAGUAGAGGGGCCUUAAGUUCAAGGACUUCUCUAGUACUUUUACUGUCAACCUCGUCUCUUUUUUAAUUAAAAUAUUUUUUGAGUCAAUUUUACUAUUCUUAAAUGGUUGAUUGACCUUCCUAACAAUGACAUCUCCAAUAUUCAAACUUGAAUUUUUUUUUUUUUUUACAUAUUAGAAUAUACUUAUGGUGACACCAUAAUUAUACUAUAGGUUUGAUUAGCUUGUUUUAAUUGAGAAAACCAAACAUAUAGUGUUUUCAUUACCUUUUCAUAUGGGAGAAUUUGUUUAUUUUGAUUCAGGUUAUUUUAAGUCAAAUCAAUUUAGAUUAUUUUCGGUUCAAGUCAUUUGGGUCAUCUUAAGUUUUAGUUAUUUUGGAUUACUUGUUUGAGCAUUUUGAGUUUAGGUCAUUUUAGGAUUUAAGGUCUUUAAGUUUGAGUAAUUUUUGAGGUUUAGUUUUCUUUGCUAACCUUAAUUAGCUUUUUAGGUCGAUUCAAUUUAGUUUUUAAAAUUCUUAAGUAAUUUCAAGUUUAAAUUAUUUUAGAUUUAAGUCAUUUAAGUUUGUCAAUUCGAUUUUCAAGUUAGGCUGUUGAUUUUUUAUACUUAAAUCAAAUUUAACUAUAUUCAAAAUUGAAUUAAUUGGAUUGAAUUUUCAGAACAUAUCAAAUGAAUGGGCAAAAGCAGUACUAGGAGAUGCUGAAAACCUCACAGAAGACAAAGUGGAUCAAGUACUGAGAAUAUUUAUGAAUGAUUUCAAGGAAGGUUCAUUAGAAGCCAAAGGUUGGCCUACACUUUUGGCAACAUAUUCCAUCUCAAAAGCAGCCAUGAAUGGCUAUGCAAGGGUAUUGGCUAAAAAACACCCAAGUUUCCAAAUCAAUUGUGUUUGCCCUGGCUCUGUCAAAACUGACAUCAACUACAAUACUGGCCUAUUACCUGUUGAAGAAGGAGCUGAGAGUGCUGUGAGGUUGGUUUCGUUGCCCAAUAAUGGCCAUUCUGGCCACUUCUUUGUUAGGAUGGAACAAUCAGAAUUUUGAUCAUAUAAUUAUUUCAAAAUUCGUAGCUAUCCUUAUUAAUAAAUUUACCUCAAAUAUUCGAACUUAAUAAUUCUCUCUAAAAGAAUAAUGUAACUUAUCACUGCACUCAACACUUAGUUGAUUUGCUUAUGAACAUUUAUGAGACUAUAACUCUAAUAAAAGACAAUGGCAAUUCAUUUUUAUUUCACUUUGGGGGUAUAAAUGAGUAAUUGAGAAUAAGAUAAAAAUGCUAAGGACCUAUUAGCAAAGGUUUGAGGUUUUGGGUUCUUGAAUAUUCAAAUUUAAGUUUCAUUAUGUAUGAGUUUUAGUUUGAAUUAUUAUAAUUUUUAUUCGGGUUAAUUCAUUUUUUAGUCUAUUUGCGCUUUAUAUUAAUUUGAUGAUUUUGUAGUUGCUCAAACAUGUAUCUACAAUUGUACUAUAAUUGUAGUCUACUUGUAUUUGCAAUGAGAAUAAAAUAAAAAGGUUAUCGGUACUAAAAUUUGAAUACCAUAUUAAAUUGAUAUAGUAUGAACCAAUUAAAUCAAAUCUUAAAUUUUUCAUCCAAAAUUUAUAAAUCAAAGAGCAGCAUUGAUAUAUUAUGGACUAGACGAUGACACAUCACUAAAAAUAAAUUAAAUGAAUUUAGUUUUAAAAUUUCAUAAUGAUGUGUCAUUAUUUAAUUAUUAUUAUUAUUAUUUUUUUUUUAAUAAUUGGGACAAGAGAAUAGGAUACGACAUAAUACUUUUCUCACUAACUUAUGUUACGUAGAUAUAGGAUUCAGGGUUCCAACCUUUUCUAUCCCUUUGAAUGUGUAUGUUGUAGGAAAUUGCCAAAUGGUCCCAACCUUAUUAGAUAAAGGUGAGUUCCACAAUAAGUGACGGUGAGAAAUUUCCUUGAAAAUGAAAAUAAAAAUGUUCAACUUCCCAAGUCUUACUUUUAUUCACCUCAAUCCCAUUAAAAGCUAAAUUUGGUUGCUUCAUUCACAUUUCUUCCACAGAAAAUUGGUUUUUUUUAUUUAUUGGAAAUAUGCUUUUACUAUUUUGUUUGUUGUCUUUUAAUAGUUGGAGAGUUAUAAGUAAUUUAAGAAUUGUAUAAAAAAAUAGGGUAAAUUGUACAAAUGGUCAUUCAACUAUGUCUGUGUUUUUGUUUUGGUCACCUUACUUUAAAAGUUUUCAAUUUAGGUACUAACGUUUGAAUUUAUUCCUAUUUUGGUCACACGUCGUUAAAUUGAUUAUGGAAAGUCUUUUUCUAACUGACAUAAUACUACAUUUAGUCUUCAAUACUUACUUAUUUUAUCAAUUUGAUCCUAAUUCCUAACAAUUUAAUAAAUUUAACCCUUUACAUUUACAAAUUUUAUCAAUUUGAUCCUCAAACUUCCUAAUCAAAGCUUUCAGCUUUUAAAACAAAAGCAUUCCACAUCUAUAAAUUUGUAAAACCCAAAAAAGAAAAAAAAAACUUCUUUCAACUAACAAGCCCUUUUUCAAAAUAAUUCCUCAUACCAAUGAGUUUAUCUUGAAACUUUUUUUCUUUUUUUUUCAUUAAUUUCUUCUAAAUAUAAUAUUUUAUAACCCUUUAAUUGAUAAAAUUUUAGCUAAUGAAAAUGGAAAAACCUUAAAAAAAACAUUUUAGAUUUACUCUUGUUGUUAACAAUAGAAUGUUUCCUUCAAGGUACAUAGGAAUAGUCCUGAAGUUGGUCCUUGAAAUCGGAAAUUAAAUCAAGAAUUAAAAAAAUAUGGUUUUAGAAAAUCCAAUUGUUUAAUAAAUAAUUAUAUAAUAAAAAUUAUUAACAUUUAAUUUUUCAUAAGAACAAGAUGUGAAAGAAUUAAUUGAAUUUCCUUUUGUAAUAUUGAUAAUUAUUUUUUUAAUUUUAUAAACUGAUUAAGAGACUAUUAUGUGUUCUAUUAAUUUUUAAUUUUUUUUAAAAUUUUUAAAUCCAUAAUAAGCAAUACAUAUCACUAGUAAUUUGAUUUAGUGUCAAAUCAUUUACUAAAUUAAUUAAAAACUAAAAUUAUGCUAGUCAAAGUGAAAGAUUGUUUUUUUAUGAAUAUUAAAUUAUUUAUAUUAUAUUUUUUAAAAUUUAUUUUUUAAUUAUUUUUAAUGGUGUUUAGUUAAUUUCUAACAUUAACUUCUUAAAAAUAUAAACAAAAAGGGUUAUGCAUCAAAUUGGAUAAUUUCAACUAUAAAUAAAACUAUUAAUAGAUGUGGAAUGUCUCUGUUUUAAAAGCUUUUGUUAGGAAGUUUGAAAAUCAAAUUUAUAGAAUUUUGUAAAUGUGAAAGGUUAAGUUUAUUGAAUUAUUUAGAAUUAGGAUCACAUUGAUAGAAUAAGUAAGUAUUGAGGACUAAAUGUGUUAUUAUACCAGUUAGAAAAGGCCUUUCCAUUAUCAAUUUAACGGUGAGUGACCAAAACAGGAACGAAUUCAAACGUUAGUUCCCAAAUUAAAAAAUUUUAAAGUUAGGUGACCAAACUAGAAAUGUGGGCAUAAUUGGGUGACCAUUUGUAUAGUUUACCCUAAAAAUAAAUAUCAAUUCACAAAUGUAUUAAAAUUUAGGUUAAACAUGCUACUAGUUUUUAUACAAGUGUAAUUGUAGAUUUAGUCCAUGUAAUUUAAGUUGGUCAUUUUUAGUCUUGUAUUUUUUUAAUUUCUAAAUUUUAGUCCUGAUAAAUGAUAGUUGUUAAAUUCUGUUGUUUCCAAAAUUUAAUGCGGCAAACAUAUCAUCAUAUGUAUAAUAUCUCACAAAAAACCCAGAUAAUAGAUUUAAAGGUUGUUAGUUAUGUCAAGACUAAAAUUUUAAAUUUUGAAAAGUAUAGAGAUGAGUAAGAAUGAUCCAAUUAAAAGUACAAUGACUAAAUCUACAUGUGUUAUCGGUUGGGUCGAAACUAAAAUUUAAUCAAACAUAUGUAACUACUAUCGUUUUAGAUUAGGAUCAAAAUUUCAAAAUUCAAAAAGUACAAUAAAUUAGAAAAAGCAUAGGUACUAAAUUUAGCAAAAUUAUAAAAAAAAUACUAAAUCCACAAUUUACAUAGUGUAUAGGGACUAAUAAAACAUUUGACCUAAAAUUUAUAUAAAUCUCCUCACUCUCCGCCAAUCUCUCUCCUUUGUGACUUUUAUGGAUAUUUAAUUAAUUAAUUUUGGACAUCUUUGCUAAUCAAUUUAUGAAUAACCAAUAAAAAUCCAGGUUAUAGAUAGUCAAUAAAAAAUUUUCCUUCGAUUUUUCUCACCCAUAAUUUAAAAAAUUUCAAUUAAAUCCUCAAAGUAAAAUUUUUUAUAUCAAUUGAGUACUUCUAUCAGCUUAACUAUCAGUUUAGCCAUUAAAUACUAAUUUGAAUUUGACUUAAAACAUAUUUAGAACACUAUAUUAAAUUAUAAACACCAGUGUACCUAUUAUAUUAAUAGUUUAGAUCAACAUGUCAUAAAGAAAAUAGAAAUUUAUAGAGUUUUUUUUUUUUCUGACAUUGCAUAUUCAAAUUGUUAAGACAGUAAUAUAUAUAUUUACAAUUUGAUCCACAACUUUUAAAUAUACUCCAAGCUCACAUUUAAUACCCAUAGUGAUGGUUUAAAGGAAGGACUUGAUUGAAUAAGAUACUAAUAAUUUAAAAUUUCGAUAAGAAUAUUUUGAAAUUUAAGACCAAUUUAAAAUUUACACCAUAAAUUAAGGACAUGUUAUGCAAUUAAUCUAAACAAAUUUCUUCAAACUACCUUUGCUAAUUUGCUAUAAUCUAACACAUUCUUUAAUCUCAAAGACUUGUCUUUGACAAUAAGUAAUCUCAAAGACCAGAUCUCAUCUCCCCAACACAUUAUUUAAUUCCCCCUAAGUUCCGCCAUUAAAGCUCUUCAUUAAAUUCAUUCCCUUUGCUUAUUUUCUAUUACAAUUACAGCCCAUUUUUCUAAACUCCAUCAAUAUUCAAAAAGUCAUAACUUUCUUAUAAUCCCAUUUAAAUUUCAAUCUUUUAUCUUAAAAGUUGCAUCUUUUGAUGUUUUGGGUUUAUUUUUUUUACUAAAAGCAUUGUAAUUUUGAUUGCAGGAACUUCAAUGGCUUUAAAGAAACCUGGUUUGAUUGCUUUAUUUGAUGUUGAUGGAACACUUACAGCUCCAAGAAAGGUAUAUAUAUAUAUAUGUAAAUCUCUCUUUUUUAUAUUUGGUCCUUUAAAUUUCAAUUAUAUGCUUAUUGGGUUGCUGAAUUUAAGUGAAAAUUGAUACAUUUUCAUUUAAAUGGCAUAGGUGGCUACCCCUGAAAUGCUGGAGUUCAUGAAGGAACUGAGAAAGGUAUAUGAUUUUUCUUAUGAUGACCCUUCAAUUCCUUUGGUUUUAUUUUGUUGAAUCUUUAAAAAAUAGAAAAAAAAAGAUCCAAUUUUUAUUAAAGAACUUUGUUUUAUUUUCAAUUAUAGGUUGUUACUGUUGGAGUAGUAGGUGGAUCUGAUCUUAUUAAGAUAUCUGAGCAACUUGGGAAAUCAGGUUUGCUUACGAAACCUUGUUGUUUUCAUUGUUUCUUUUUUAGUCCCUUUGAUUAUUGAACUAUUAGUUACAAUUUUUUCUGUAAAUGCAGUGAUUAAUGACUAUGAUUAUGUAUUUUCUGAAAAUGGACUUGUUGCUCAUAAAGAUGGGAAACUCAUUGGAACCCAGGUAUUACUCACAGCAUGUAUUUUCUUUUUGUCCAAACACCUUGUUUUCUUGCCAUAUGAUGUAAAUUUAAGAACUAAUGAUAAGUAUUUUUUCCCCCUUUUGGAUAAGUUGAACUUAAUUUCAUUAACUCGGUCUCGGUUUCCGUUUUCUAGAGUUUGAAGUCGUUCCUCGGAGAAGAUAAGCUGAAGGUUAGUCUUUUUCCCCUCUUAGAUAUGAUGGUUCUUCCAUUUGAUAUCUAAAAUGGAUUACGUUAAAAGCUUGGUUUAUAGUGUCGUUAGGACUCUAUUGAUUUUCAUUAUUCGCUCGUGAUGAUGUCUGAUUACCAUUAGAAAUGGUGUAUGCUAUUUGUUUCAUUGAUUGCAAAUGAUUGUGCAGGAAUUUUUAAACUUCACAUUGCAUUAUAUUGCUGACUUGGAUAUCCCAAUAAAAAGGUGAGAAAAUCGGAAGAACGGAGUUCAUUUUUUAAGUCUGCUGCAACUCUAUUUAUUCCUCUAAUCGGUCAAGUUGAAUAAGAUCACCUCUUUAUCGUUUUUCUUCGGUUUAGGGGGACAUUCAUUGAAUUCCGAAGUGGGAUGCUUAAUGUAUCUCCGAUUGGACGUAACUGUAGCCAAGAAGAAAGGGAUGAAUUUGAAAAGUACGACAAGGUAUAAAAUAUAAUAACCUUUUAGUUUUUGCUAUCUAAAAUAUACAGAGUUAGGGCGCAUCUAGCAUCAUUUUUGGCCUCCAAAAGCAAUGGUAAACGAAGAGCUUUUGCCAUCGAAAGUGUGUUUAAAACGUGCUUUUGAAACCAAAUAUAGAACAAACAACAAUGCUAAAUUAGCUUUUAGUACUUUUUAGGUGCAUAUACUUAAAUAAAUCAAACUAUUCGAGUUUCAGGUUCACAAUAUUCGCCCGAAAAUGGUGUCUGUACUUCGAGAAAAGUUUGCUCACCUUAACUUGACAUUUUCAAUUGGAGGGCAAAUAAGCUUUGAUGUAAGUAAUACAUAUAUAGUUUGUUUCAACAUUUUAAGUACCAUGAACGUCAAAAGGAUUAGUGAUUGCUUUGUUUUGAUCGUUAUAGGUUUUCCCCGAGGGCUGGGACAAAACAUAUUGCUUGAGAUAUCUUGAAGAGUUUCAAGAAAUCCACUUCUUUGGGGACAAAACUUACAAGGUUCGUUCCAUUUUUUUCACUUUGGUCUUCCACUAGUAAAAGUACCAUGGAGGCCCUUGUAUUGGAUCGCAUUUUGUCCCCUCUACUUAAGAAAUAAGUGGUCAAAGAGCAAACUGGUCAUGUUAAAAAUUUCAUCCGUUUCUACUAACAAAAACUAGUCUUGUACAUCAACAUAAGGUACAUCUGGCACAUUAUGUAUCACGAUCUAGUUAUUCUGUCAACCAUGCUAAUUUUAAACAGAACAAAUGGAUGAAAUUUUUAAGAAAAAGGACCAAUUUACUCUUUGAACUAAUGUAUAGAGACUAAUUUGCCCAUUUUUUUAGUAGAGGCAAAACGCAAUUUGAAGCAUAUCCGUUUUUACUGCCUUCCACCCUAUAUAAAUCCAUAAACUUACAGUCAUUAUCCGUUUUUAAUCGGCUUUCUUUCAGCCUUUACCUUCAUUCCAUUUACUAAUGGUCUUUUCCCUGGUCAGGGAGGUAACGAUCAUGAAAUUUAUGAAUCGGAGAGAACAGUAGGACACACAGGUCAGUUGUUAUCUCGAACUAUUUACACAGAUUCUCAAUGUUCAAUGGUCUCAAAAUGCAGUGAUUCAAUUACCCUUGGCAAUAUAACAAUAUGUUUUAUUUUGGUCAUAUGUAGUUACAAAUCCUGAUGAUACAGUGAAGCAGUGCAAAGCUCUCUUCUUAAGCAACCCUUGAACGAUACCGCUUUUCUUCUCGGUAUUACCAGGUUGUAUCGAGUGGUUUACAGGAAAGAAUAAGUGGCAAGCCGGGUGCUGGCUCAAGUAUGUAGUUUUUAUAUUAUUCAGUAAUAGUUCAAAGUGGUUAAAUUUUGGGUAUUUAGAACUUGCAGAAAAUAUGGUAUCACCAUGAUUCUCUUUUACUAUCAUUCGAGGGAAUCAUGAAUUUUGGACAUUCACUUUAUUAAGGUUGCAGCAAUUUAUAUAUGUAUUUAUAUAUACAUUGAAGCCGGCAGGAUGAACUGCUCAAUAAUAAAUAUAAUCUGUGUCUUAUAUUAUAAAGCUCCAUUUGUUCAUGGCAAUUUUUUUUUCCAUUUAACUUAAAUCGGAAGAGAAAGGAAAAAUACCCUUGAGUUUGGCUUUUAGUUUUUUUUUUUUUUUUUCACUUUGUCACUUGAAAUUGACAAUUAGAUUCAUUUUGGUCUUUGAAUUUGAGGCAUUAUUAUUUAAAAAUUUAUAUAAAUUUUCAAUUGAGAUGUGAUAAAAACUUAAAGUAUUACAUUGAGUGUCAUAAUAAUUAAACAAAUAGUUAAACAGGUUAAGCUAUUGAUUCCUAAUUCAACAUGUUUGAUUGGUUCAACCAUCAAACAUUUUAUACAGCUUAACAGUCUUUAAUAUAGACAUAAUAGUAAUUUUAGCUCCUCACGAUUAUAAAUUAUGCUAACUUAAUUAUGAUUCUAAAAAAUAUAAUUCCCUAACAUUUAUAUGGUAUAAUUUGAUAUUUUUUUACAAUUUUGGCUUUGUUUGUAAUAUUCAAGGUUAAAUUUAAAACAAUAAAAAAAUGAUAAUUAUUAUAUUAAAAUUUUAAAUUUUAAAUUUUAAUAUAUUUUCGAUCAAAUUUAAUUGAUAAAUUUAUUUUUUAAGUCACAUAAAAAAAGCGAAAUUAUAAAAAGAAGAAUAUCAAAACAUACAAGGUGUAGAUGUUAAAAAUUAUUUUUUAGAAUCAAAAUUAAAUUGAUACAAUAUAUAAAUAUUGAAGAGUAAAGUUACUAUACAAAUAUUAAAAUUAUCACAAAAUUUUCCAUUAACCUAAUAACCAAAAAGGACAAAUCAAACAAUUAAAUAAUAAUUUUAUAAAUUUUCAUAAUUGAAUGGCCAAAAAAAAAAAUACCAAUAAUUGAAUGACUACCUGUGUAUUUUACCCUAAAUAAUUUUUCAAAAAUUAUUUAAUUUUAAACUAGGACGUAAAUAUUUCAAUCGACAUAUGAAAAGAACAUGAAAAACAGUAAUCCAUGAAAAUGUUCCUUUCCUGUCUGUUGCCAUUUAAUGACAAAGUACAACAGUUGAUCCUUUUUCUCUUAGAAUAAAACAAGCAAUUAAUAAAAGUCCCAUCAAAAAUUUAUCAACCGCUUAAAAUUUUGUUAUUACUGGAAAAAAGGUCCUUUUUUUUUGUACUAUUUUCUGUACAACUUACAACAAUGGGAGCAUGUAGUUGUUCUAUACAGUUUUCCCCCCUGAAAGGGGGGGAGGGCUUAUUAUACCUGGUUAACACGAGGAACCUUUCAUAUCGCCAAUUCAGUAACGUGGUUAUCGUCCGAAGAAUCCGGCAGUUGAGUUUUAGGUUUAUUCGUGACUCGCGAAAACCCAUAACCGAGAGAACUUCCACUAGCUUGGCAUAGCUGUGGAAGUGAAAACAUGUUGGGAUUAUGAUAAAAAUAUUCCUUGAGAUGUUAGGAAAUAAACAAAAAUAAAAGGGUAAAAGUACUAUCUAAGCCCCUGUACUAAGAGUCCGAUUGCAUUUUACUCUACUAAAAUUUUAUCCAUUUGUAUUGUUAAAAACCAACAUGGCUGCCGGAAUAACCAAACAAUGACAUGAGACGUGCAACGCAUACCUCAUACUAAUGUAAAGAGACAAGUUUUUAACAGUAAAAAUGAAUAAAAUUUUGAACAGAAAACCAAUUUGCUCUUUGAUCUACCGUAUAAAGAUUAAUUUGUCUAUUUUUUUUUUGAGAGAGGGAGAAAUGCAAUCCGGCUCCUAGUCUAAUGGCCUCUAUGAUACUUUUACCAAAUAAAGGAAAAAGUAGGGGUGUAGGGAGUACCUCUGUUAGUUCCGCAAGAUGGCGAGACCUAAAUUCGUUGAUUGUUGCUGCAAUCUCAGAUGUUGGGAGUUUAGCCUGCAGAAAGACAGGGGAAAAGAAACGAUAUGGAUUGUUUAAGAUAUCAAUAUAAGUACAAAAAAUAGAAUAGAGGUGGAAGCAUCGGAUUAACAGAUGAAUAUAAGACAUCUGCACGGUUUAACGCAGGAUUAAUCAUAUUAAUAAGUGACCGAUGCAAGUGUUGCACAUCCAAAUCAUGACCUCGAGCUCAGAGACAAUGUUAAAACCACUAUGGCCGAGGAAAGCAUAACGGAAACAAGGUGCCCGGGAUUUGAAAAUGUAAUCCAUCAUACCUGAGCUAGGACAGCAGCAGCCAACUGCAGACUUGGUUCCAAGGUUUCUGGCACAACCUAUACUCAACAAGGCAGAAGAGAAUAAGGAAAAACCAGAAGAAGAAAAACCACAGGCGGUAAAUUUAAUAGAAGGUGAAAGAAUAUUACAGCCGUAGCCCCAGCUUUUUCCAAAUUAAGGCCGUGAUCAACAUCAUGAGCGCGGACAAAAGUUUUCACAUUAGGGAAAUACUUGCUCAGAGCCCAAACAGUUCUAUAAUUGGCACCAGGUGUAUCCAAGGUUAUUGCCGCAGCACAAGCUCUUUCAGCACCAACUUUGUGAAGGACCUAAUCACCAGUGUAAAAGAAGUCAAAUGGUGAUCUCCAAGUCGGCUUAUUUUGAACGAAUUUUGCUUACCUCUCGACUACCAGCAUCUCCAAAAUAAACAGGAAUGUCCAGGGAACGCCCCAUUGCCACCCUAUCACUGAAAGGAGCAGAAACUUUUAGUACUUGCCAUGAUUAAUUGAUGAAUUUUAGAUAUCUGCUAUUUUGUGAUGUGUACCACUGGUAUAGGCUAUGAAAGUACAACUACUUGAUGGCCAUUUCCAAAAUGAGUCAGCCUAUUUCCAUGAAUGUCUUAAGCUUCUUCAACAAAAAUGUCAAUCACAUAGUAGGCAAAAGCGACUGUUUUACAUUAAUCGUGAACAUUUAUAUGCAUCAAUCUCUAGCUCAUAAUCAUGCGCUAUAUCAAUACAUUGGUAAUAUAGAAAAUCAAAGACAAACUCAUGAGUCACGGUAUGGGCAGGUAUCUUGGAGGAAUUAAAUUGGCAUACACAAAGGAUCUAUACCCUAGAUUAAGAUGGAGUCAGAUGUUUGCAAAAUCAUAAGCAUUAUGAUCGAUGAUUAUUUGACUUCUCUUUAAAAAGAAUUAUGUUACCUCCGCACAUCAAGGGCAACGAAUGGAAUUAGGCGCUCCGAAAGUAGCUGAGCUAUGAUCUGAAAACAUGCAAAGAAAAAGAGAAAACACGACAUUGUUACGGACAUGUGUUUAUGGAUUAUUAACUAAUUUGAGAAGAGGUUCAUCAGAUUAACACUUUCAGACUAAUUUUUCAAAUUCAAGUGUGCAAAUAUAUAAAUACCUGCCCAACACGCCCAAAUCCACAAAUGAUAAUAUGAUCUUGCAAAUCAUCAGUCUGGAAAUAAAACCAAGUUAAAGAGACAGAUUAAUAACUAUUAGAGAUCCCAUUACAUCAAAAUCAGAUGCUUAAUAUAUUGAAAAGAGAUUUACUGCAUAAAGAUACUUUAUUAUGUUACCUCACUCUCGACAGGCAAUAAGCUUCGAACAUCGUGUAGCUCAAAACGAGAGGCAAUUAACUGGCCUCCAGCAGCAAGCCAUGGUGUGAGGGCCAUUGAAAUCCCCACAACAAGGAACAACAAUGAGGAUAGCUGAGAAGACAUUAUUCCCUGCCAAAAUCCCCCCAUUAAUACUUGCAUAAGUGAUAAAACACUGCAUAUUAGCACUUGGCUUUCAUUAUUCAAAGAACAACGAUUCUUGUUGAUUUAGUAAAAAAACGUGCCCAUUUACCUAAGAUAUAUGAUACAGUUAACGAAUAUUCCAAAUUAUAAUGGAACAAAUAUGUGAACAAUAUAUCUUUCUCAAAUGACAAACCACCCUUACACUGACAAAACUCAAAAGUAAAAAUCAAUAACCCAACAGGUUAACUAAAAAUUUACCAAAUACAAGAUAAACUAUUAGAUGCGGAUGAGAUAAUCCCAUGACCAAAUGAUGUUAGUUAAUAGUGAAAGAAACCUGAUUAACAGCUUCACCAAAAGCCACAAAUGCAAAUUCUCCACCUGGAGCUAGAAGAAGACCAACCCUUAUGGCGGAUAUGAUCGAAAUACCAAAAAGUUUACCAACAACUGCCACCAAUAUGGUCUUGCCACCAAGUAAGAGUGCCAAUGUCCCCGCAAUGACAGGAAAAUUUGACACAAGAAGCUUUGGGUCAAUUGACAUUCCAACCUGAAAAGUCAAAAUGUCAACAGUUGCAUAUGCUCGAUCAUCAAUGUAUGGCAGUAACAAUAACCUAAACCAAAAACAAGCCAAAUUAAGCAAGUGUUAUCAUUCUCAAAACUCAGUAACGUAGUAAAUGAUAUGAAGACUUUAUCCAACCACCUCUCCCAGUUUUCUCCUACUUCCACCUAUGAGAUAAAAUCAUCCUCUAUGUAUAAAGAAUCUUGGUAAUAUGAUUGUUGUAUAAUAUUCACACUAAGGACACGUUUGGACAGCACAAAGUAAAUGAAUGAAAGUGUAAUUAUUAGGGUAGUAAUUAUACCCUUGUAAUUACAACAAAUUGUAAUUCCCUAAAUGUAGCUGACAUAAGAUAAUUAACAUCAACCUUAUAAUAUUUGGGUUUAUAGUUCAAAUAGUUUGUAGCUUUAAUUAUAUAAACUUAAUUUGACUGACAAACAGUAAUUAGCAUCAAUCUUAUAAUAUGGUGCAAAGAAAACCAUUUCUAUUUGCUUAAUUAGUAUCAAGCUUAUAAUAUUUGGGUUCAUAGUUCAAAUAAUUUGUAGUUUUAACUAUAAAUUUAAUUUAGAUAAUGACUUAUGCUAGAUUAUAUCUCUUUCUAUAAUAUGUAAAUUAAGUAAAAAGUAAUAUAAAAUUUAUAAUAUAUAAACUUUAUAAUAAUAAAAAAAAAGAUUUUAUAAAUUGUCCAAACCUGAUAAAAAAAACUAUAGUAUUUUUUAUAAUUAAGCAAUAAUAAUAAAAAUAAAAAUAACUAUAAUAUUCUUUUAUGAUUAUAAUAUACAGUAUGUACACGUAAAUAAGUUAUGUCCAUACUUCUUAGUCAUAACUUUUUAUAAAUAAAUACAUUAUGCAAUUUUAUAACAUGUACAUUAUUUUUUAUAAUAUAUUAUAAAUAAAUACAUUAUCUUUUACCAUAAUUUUAGAUUUUUUUUAGGAUUUAAAUAAUAUAUUUUUAUUAUAACUUUAUAAAAUACAAAAAUUAUUUUUAUAAUAAUUUUUAGAAAUUAAAAUAUAAGAACCGUUAUACCAUAAACAUCCAAAACACUUAUAAGUGUUUAUGCUUAUAAUAUAAUUUUCAUAACUUUGUAUAAAAAUAAUUUUUUAAAAUUGGAUUUGGGUAUAAUUACCUGUGUAAUUACCCCAAUUCUCACCCUCCCCUCUAAGAAUUGGAAAGUAAAAUUGGGGUGCUCCAAUUACACCCAAUUCAAUGGGACCCACCAAUUAUAAUGGUUACACAAACAUGCCACCCUUGUGUACUUACAAGCAAUUACGCACAAACCCAAUUACUAGAUGGCUUUCCAAACACUACCUAAAUGGCCUUCAUAAGAAAUGAGCACCAGGUACAACUACAACUGAAGCAAGAAAGUAAUUCAAUGAACAGACAAUCUAGUCAUCCAAAAUGGAGAGGCCACCAAAUAAAAUACCCACCGUCAUGAAGAAGAGACCCAAUAAGAGGCCACGAUAUGGAGCAAUAUCUGAUUCAACCUGCAAAGAGAAUUCAGUCUCUGCAAGAAGCAAACCAGCUAGAAAUGCUCCCAAUGCCAUGGAAAGUCCAGCCUGUUCAACCAGAAGAGUAAAAACAAAAUGAAGGAUCUAAGGUAUUAUUACUACAACAGAAGAAAAAGAAAAAUUGACAAGAAUGUAUAGUUUUCGUACCCUAGCAGUAAGGAGACUUGUCCCUAGAAUAACAAGGAGGGUAUUGGCUGAGAAUAUUUCUGCAUUUUGAUUUUCUGCUAUUUGCUUAUAAAUUGGUCGAAGCAACUGCAAGAAAGGAAAAAAGUAUACAAAAAUCAGCAGCUGCUGCGUUUCUGAAGCAUUAUCCAUUUUCAGAGUCAAGCACAGGUAUCAACAACCUUAGUAGAUUCUGAAGAUUGUGGGUAAAUUGCAUCUAUGAGUUAAAUACCUUUCUUUUUUGUUAUGAUUUAUGAGUCAAUACUAUCAGACUAUUAGAUGCAUUUCUUAUAUGUAUAACAAAGCUCUCACAAACUAUCAGUUAGCUCCACUAGAAUGAUACCACGUACAUCCAACCAGGUUAUAUUUGAACGCUCUUAAUAGACAAUUUGCAAUUUUUUUAAUCAGCAAAAUAUUACAGGAUAAGUUAAGAUAAAGUAAAACAAUAAAAAUUUAAUGUCCAAACCUGAGGCCAUAAUUUAUGAAUGUCUUAGAUAUAAAACUUACCAACCGUCCCCCAGCAAUAAUUGCAGCAAUGGCAACUGCUGCCUUAACAGCAGCCAGUCCAAGAGCUUCAGCAAUGGCUCUAAAACCAACCUGAAAACCAAAAAAAUUACAUAACUCAAAAGUGCAAAUAUAAAAUGUAGAAGUAUCAGCAGCGGUAACAAGAAUGUGGCAGAUAAACCAGACAAGGGGCAAAUUUCACUUCUUCUUAACUUGCCUUAGCCAUCAAAGUUCUUUCAUGUUUUUCCCUAAAUAUUUCCACUUGCAAAUGUUUCCAAAAUACUUCCUUAGAAGUUCAUUAGAACCAUUUAAGGAGGCAACCAUCAAAUAACAAAAGAAAAGAUUUUGGGGAAAGCACAUGCUCCCUCAAAGCAAACUAGUGGAGUAUGCUGCAAAGAAAUAAACAUAAACAGCUAUUAAGAAACCCAAGGAGAUGAAGGAGCAGACAGCUUUCUACUAAUAGAAGCUUAGGAAAAUCACUCAUCAAAACCCGAGCCCCAAGAGAGCUUUAUGGUUCAUUCAUCAAAAUUUGAGCCCCAAAUGAACUUCAUGAUUAAUGCAAGUAUCAGAAUAAAGAACAUAGAUGUAUGUGAAUGACAUACUAUCAAAGCAAAGCCAAUUAGAAUAUUCAAGGUCAAAUGAGGAAUAAAAAGGAAAAGCAAAAAAUGGAUAUAUUAGAAUUUAGAAGAUCUUACCCCUCCUUUUGAUGAAUUUGGUGAGAUAAGAGGUAUGAGUAUAAGCAAAACAACAACAGCCAAGUCCUGGAAAGAAGAGAUAUUAAUCAAUAAAAAUUCACAACCAAAACCAUCCAAAUGAACUAAAUGUCAAAGUGAACUUCGAAAGACUAAUGAGGGAGGAUUCCAAACAUAUCUAGCAGGUAUUAUUAUGUGUCCUAAUUGCCAAUUUAGUCGGAUCAUUCAUAAAGCAUUUUUAGUACUAUGGGAGCAAGAUGGCUUAAUUGCAUAGGCGAUUACCAUGUUGCAUUGAGUAUAUAACUAAUUUCAUCUUUGCUUACUUCAACAGUAAAUAUGUCUGUUUAAAACAUGAAGAUUGGGAAAGAAGAUUUAAAAAUAAGAAGAAAAAGAAAGGGACAAAAAGUAGAAGCAGGCAUACACGUAUCAGUUAUCAAGACAUUCAUUUGUAUAAUAACUGAAUAAAGAACUAUUAUCACUGACUGCAAAAUUCAAUUCAUAAAAAAUGCCUCCUGAAGUCAAUCCCUUUUCUCAAGAUCCUAGGACAACCUGAAAAAGUAGGACUGAAAAUGUAGCACGCCCAUGGCGUGAAGUACUCUCACCUCGCUCCUGUAAUACCUGCAAAUGAAGACAACAACAAUUAUAAGACCAUUAAUGGAGCCAUGAGGUCUCUUUAUCUUCUGUGGUAGGUAUGUUAUUGUAAAGGAACAAAAAAUAUGAAAAGUAAAACAAAUGACAAGAGUUUGAUACAAUCAGGUCACAUUCAUGCUAUUACUAAACCUAUUAGGUAGAUUUGUGAAGACAAUCGCAAGAAACCAAGUUAUCUUCUAAUUUCUAAAGAUUUUAAGAGGCCGCAGAGGAAUAUAAGAGGAAAAUAGAUGUUUAUAGAUAUUCAACAAAAAUAAAAUUUUAAUCUUUUGCCCUAGCAAGCUUGCUAAAAUUUGUGUCCUUCAGGAUGUGCAAGAGUAAUAAUAAUACAAUGUCAAAAUUAAUAACAUCUGAAGCAGAAUGUGUCUAUGUUAAUUACCUGCAAGACAACAGCAGUUGAAGAUAAUGCCAGGCCAUUCCCAAUCACAAUUGCAGCUGGACCAGGCUGCCCAGCAACAAAAUGAGCAACCAAGCCAACUACAACUGCAGUCACAAGGACCUGCAUCACAUAAAAGUAUAAGUUAAAAGAACUUUCAAAACAUAUGUGACAGUAACAGAAAAUUUAUUUUCUCAAUCACCUGCGCAGAGCCUAAUCCAAAAACAUAUUUCUUCAUGGAACUUAACCUUUCGACGGAUAACUGCAAAAGGCAAAAUAUGGGCACAUGUUUAAUACCAUCUUAUAAUGAUGGAAUUCAAUGUAAAGCUGCAAUUAUGGAUGUAUAAAAUAAACUCCACCUCAAGGCCAAUAUUGAAUAGCAAGAAAACAACUCCAAAUUCAGCUAUUGCUUUGGUCCCAUGCACAUGACGGAUUAUGGAAAGACCAUAAGGUCCAAUCAAGAUGCCAGCAGCCAAAUAUCCAAGAACGGGACUGCCUAAAAAUAGGAGCAGAUAGAAGAAAAACAUCAGUAAAGGAAAAAUAGAACAAAUAAUGGUAAGGAGAAGGAAAGAGAAAAAACAUUGUUUUCUCCAGACUGUGAGGAAACAUCAUAAAAAGCAAAUAGAGAAUUCAAACAUGAGCACCAAAAGUCUUUGCAAAAGUUCAUAUUGACAAAAGAUCAUGCGUUUUUUAAGAACGCCGACUCGAUGCUACAUACUAAAAUGAGCUAAAGGAUAGAGAGUUUAGUCACCUCCAGGAAUUUUCUGAAAUAUAGGCACAAAUAUUACACUUGCAAGAAGUAACCACAGCACAUCAAAGAGAGAAGCCUCCUCCUCAUUCAUCUGAGAAAUUCAAAGAUUGAAAUAAGCUUCUGACAAGCUGCUAUAUUCAGUAUGAUUACAAUCAUAAGAAACAAAUGGAGAAACUAAUAAAUGGUGUAGGAUCACACACCUCUUGAUGUGGAAGAAAAGCAAUUAGUUCUUUUAGUUUUUUAGGAAUUUUCUUUAUUUGUUGCAUCAGAGGUUUUGCAUUUAAGGAAAUGUCGUCUAUACUAGUAGUUAUGACAUCUGGCUGCUGCAUCAACAGAGCUCUCCUCUCUGCCUGAUUAGCAUAGAAGGCAACCCUGUGAUCAAAGGCAGGCAAUCAUUUUUGCAGGCAUCGAAUCUUAUAAAAAAGUAACAAACUGAUAAAACACAAACUCAAUAAAAUGGUUCCUUCCAGAGGAGUUGAUCCAUUGUUUUUAUUAUAGUCAAGCAGUGAAUUCUCUAGAUCUAAACGUUUGAUCUAAGAAGAAAUAGACAUAGCAUUCCAAAAGAAAAACAUCUUGUUUUAACAGAACAUGCCAUUUUGGUCAUGAAGGAGAAAUUAACGCUCACCAAAGACAUAUACAGGAAUUUGAGAGGAGUUAUAACUAAUUUAGUUAAUAUAAUACGGUAGUAAUAUUCAAAAACAUACCCAGCUCCCAAGAGCAGUACUCCUACUACCAGUUUAGGAAUUUGUUUCCUUGCAGACUCCAAAAGACUCUGGGCGACUGACAAUGGUGUGAACUCUGUCCCAUCAUCGGUGAAGGAAAAAAAUGAUGCAGGGAAGAAACGUGAAGAUUUCUUCAACAACGACUUUGAGGAAUUAGGGGGUGAAGUCUCCCUUGUCAGCUCCUUCUGAGAUUCCGACUUCUUCGAUUGAACACUUUUUGACUUUUCUGCUUCAAUUUCAGCUUCUUUUGGAGAAUCUAAACCCAGGAUUCCGUUCUCAUGAUCACUUAGAUCAUCAAAUUGUUUGAUAUCUUCAGAACUUUUUCUAGCUUUACCAGAUAUGAUGUCUGCUGUAGGCUCAGCAACCACCAUGCCACCAUUAAUCAAAGCAUCCCUUUCUCUUUCAACAAAAACAUCAUUAGGACCCCCGGGACUGAUCUCCUCCUCAAUAACAGUCUCUUCAGCCGAAACCUGCUGCUCAACAGUCUCAACAAUCAUAUUAGAAAGAGACUUUUCAGCUUUUUGCAGAGCUAUCUCUGCAUCAUUCACAUGCUGUGUAGCUUCCAAUUCAAAAGCAACAGCUUGCUCAGCUAAAAGCAUGAUGUUUGCAACUUCUUCCUCAGCUUUCAAUGCAUCCAUCUGUGCUUUCUCUGCAACCUCAUUCAAUCUAUCUGCUUCUUUCUGCAACUCCCCCUUUUUACUCUGCAGGUGCCUUAACUCCGCUUGACAAUUUUCUAACUUCUCCUUACAUUCUCUAAUCUCAUUUUGUGCAGUCAAUGCUGCUCCAUUAUCUUCCCUAAUAUCAAUUUCCACAUCACUCUCUCCAGAAUUUUCUGGGGAAUCGUUUCCCUUUUUCAGAUAUUCAGAUGAGUCUGCUGUCACCUGAAGCCUUGCCUCAGCUAAAGACAAUGCCAUCAUUGCCUUUUGAACAGCCUCUUUAGCAACGCACUCACCAUUCACAAUAUCUUGAAUCAUUUUAAGUGUGCUAUUAACAU
RNAcentral lists this long non-coding RNA (37825 nucleotides) under Gossypium barbadense (sea-island cotton). Its description in RNAcentral is "long non-coding RNA (GBAR_LNC011620)". The stretch from base 28819 to 28962 matches the Rfam family "MIR7502 microRNA precursor family". Lineage: Eukaryota; Viridiplantae; Streptophyta; Magnoliopsida; Malvales; Malvaceae. The record is from RNAcentral.